AUGGUGCUUACGGCCCCAAAAAACGAUCUUAUCAAAGGGUUAGCUGCUGAUCUUAUUGAGAAUGGGGUUUGCAUCCUGCAAUAUGCUGAUGAUACGGUGCUUUGUUUCGAACAUGAUAUAGACAAAGCCAUCAACGUCAAACUAUUGCUCUAUCUUUUUGAGAUUAUGUCAGGAUUAAAAAUCAAUUUUGAGAAGAGUGAGAUCUUUAGUAUUGGAGGUGACAAUGAUAUUGAUCUAGCUUAUGCUGACAUGUUUGGAUGCCAAGUGGGCUCCUUACCUAUAUCUUGGAGUCCUAGUUACUUACUCCGCUCUCAAGAAUGCGGAUUUAGACUUCCUUGA
This 339-nucleotide ribosomal RNA is filed under the name Triticum aestivum (bread wheat). RNAcentral describes it as "partial small subunit ribosomal RNA". The record is from RNAcentral. Lineage: Eukaryota; Viridiplantae; Streptophyta; Magnoliopsida; Poales; Poaceae.